Quercus robur (English oak) is the source of this 5503-nucleotide long non-coding RNA. RefSeq lists it as uncharacterized. The record is from RefSeq and is a predicted model, not a curated record. NCBI's taxonomy places the organism in Eukaryota, Viridiplantae, Streptophyta, Magnoliopsida, Fagales, Fagaceae. The transcript is spliced from 3 exons.
UUGUGGCUUUUGCUGAUGUUCUUUUUUCGUGAUAUAUGGGUGCACUUUAUUACUCUUAUUUUUUCCCUCAUAAAAUUUGGGCUUCCUGCGUAUUUCCAGCGCCUACUCAGCAUAGUUAAUUUUGGCAAUUGGGAUCAAGGAGCAAGGCUUUUUGCAUCUCUACUGUUUUGCUUUUCUGUUAUUGUCAAUGGAAAUCCAAAUUUUUUCUUUGACAGCCGUAGAGGAAUAUGUCAAGGUGGCCCUCUUUCCCUAUUGUUUUUCGUACUAGUUGUGGAGACUUUUAGUAGGUUGAUGACUAAGGAGAAGGCAAGAGGUUUUAUAGAUGGUUUUUCUAUGUCUUUAGGAAAUACUAAGGCUUUGAUGAAAUGACACUUGCCUUUUGCCAAUGAUAUUUUGAUUUUUUUUUCUGUGUGAUGCAGAUGUCAAUUAGAUUCACCAUUUGAACUGUAUUAUGUUAUGGUUUGAGGCAAUAUAUGGUAUGAGGAUAAAUUUUACCAAAAAAGAGAUGGUGCCUGUAGGGAUGGUCACAGAGGCAGAGGUCUUGGCUAACACUCUGGGCUUUUUAAGUUCUCUUCUCUUUAAAUGAAAUAUUUGGGACUCCCUCUUGGGGCUCAUUUUAAAGCUAGCAAUAUAUGGGAUGGCAUAAUAGAGAAGAUGGAAAAGAGAUUGGCAGGUGGAAGAAACUUUAUCUAUCAAAGGGAGGAUGCCUUACACUAAUUAAGAGUACGCUCUUCAUUCUCCCUACUUUUUGGUUGUAUUUGUUUCCAUACCUGUUAGUGUGGAUAAUAAAUUGAAAACAAUACAAAGGGAUUUCUUAUGGGGUUUUAUUGGGGAUGAGCAUCAGUUCCAUAUGGUGAAGGUCUACAAUGUGUAGCCUGAUCCAAAGUGGGCAUUUGGGUAUUAGAGAAUGAAGAACCUCAUUUUUAACUAAGCCUUUCAUAGUAAAUGAUUGUGGCAUUAUGUGGUAGAAAGGGACUCAUUGUGGAGGAAAGUGAUUGAUCACAAAUAUGAUACUGGUAGGGGUGAUUGGUGUUCUGGCAUUGUCAAAGCUCCUUAUGGGUUGGUUUGUGGAAAUAUAUUAAGUAAAUGGUUGGAAUAAAUUUGCCUCUUAGAUGCUGUGGGAGAUGGCUCUAAAAUUUUGUGUUGGAAGGAUCAUUGGACUAGCAAUUGAAUUUUCAGAAACAAAUAUCCUGAGGUUAUAUGGAGUCAGUUAAUGGUCGGUUGCAUUGAAAAGUUGCUUUUCAUUAGAGAAACUCAAGAUUGGGAUAUAGUAUUGCUGGAACACUUUUUUGAUGACCUUUUGUGCAAUGGAGGUUGUCUAAACGGGAAGUGAUGGAUUGGUGUGGUUCUCAUCAGCAAAGAAAGGUUUUCAGGUAAGAAGUUUCUUUUACGAGUGGUUAGUUUAGGGAAUGCACGGUCUGUCCCCUUUCCUUGGCAGUAUAUUUGGAGAGGUAGAGCCUACCUAAGAGUGACUUUCUUCAUGUGGACUGUAGCAGUAAGAAAAUUUUUGACAACGGAUAAUUUAUAAUAGAAGGAAAUUAUGAUUGCAGGCUGAUGUUGUAUAGUAAGUCCAAUGGAGUCUGUGGACCAUCUUCUUCUACAUUGCCCUAUUGCUAUGGACCUGCGGUAUGAUGGUAUCUAUUACUAUGCCUAUUUCGUGUUAUGUGUGUAAUGCCCAGUUUAGUACUUGCUAUGUUGGAGUCUUGGAAGGAGACAUUUGGCGAUCUAAGAAGUGGGGAAGCAUUGGGAACAGGUUCUUUAUGUUGCAUGUAGUGCAUUUGGAAAGAGAGGACUCUCCAUACUUUUGAGGGGGAGUUAUCCUUGCUUCACCCUAGGUUCAUGGACAAGGAGAAAUAUGAAAGGGAACCCUAAUGGAACAAAGUUAACUUCACUGAAAUUUUCCUGAAGCAGAAGAAUAAAAGAUGCCUUCUUUAGCAGUCCGAACUCCAAAAUAAGUCAUAAGCAGACCAAUCUUGAGAUGCUGCCAUAGGUGCCUAGGUGCUGACCUUGGCAAGAAAUACUUUUGUGGAGUGGGGAUGAUGUGGAUUUUUUGGACUCCCUACUAGUUAAUAAUGCUGAUGCAAAACACUGGUGAAAUGAAUACCUGUAACUAUGCCGACAAUGUUAAUCUGUAUCUUUUUAUUUAUUUAUUUUUUGAUGAGUAAUGUUAAUAUAAUAAAUCAGGUAAAAUUGAUCAUCAUGAGUUGUGAAUAUAAUCCAUGGCACUGUCAUUCCUGCACUGUGUUAUUCAUUAUGACAUGGUAGUUCAGAUACUGAGGAAGCAUUAGCAAGAUGCCAGGGAAACUAAUUCUAUUGGGUGAGGGUUUUUUUAUUUUUAUAACACCAGUGGAAAACCCCAUAAUUAUAACUUUGUUUCCAUGAUGACUUUCCCAUCUGGGCCCGAGCAUUAUUCCUGAAUCAGCUAUGUUUCGAGGGAACUAGCCCAAUAAUUGGGCUUGUAGGUGAAAAGAGCUAGUAUAUGUUUUAUAAUUGUGAUUGAGGAUGAUAAUGUCAAAUACUACCUACCAAGCAUUAAUUUAAAUUAGUGGCUAGUAUGCAUUGGUAAACUAUUGGGAACAAUUCCUUGCUUUCCAUUCUUUGAUAGAUUUUAUUGUAUGAGCUAGCAAUAGAAAUUCUCGAUUUAGCUCUUUUUACCUUUUGGGAGCUUUACGGAAUCGUAGUUGAUUCCACAUGCAACUCAAACUUCUGAAAGAUAAUCUCGUUAUCAUUGUUUCGUUCCUAAAAUAGAUUGUCUUUUGCUGUAUAUUCUUUAUAGUUUACACAAAUGACUGAAAAACUGAGCUGCACUUUCAGGUGAUUUUUCUUUUGCCUAAUUUUAUGCAUGUGCUUGGUCAAGAGCUUUGUAACUCAACUAACUCCUCCUUGUAUUUUUAACAGACAUCCAGCCAUCUAGGGUUCAAAAUCACUCUCUUAUUGUAACUAUAGAAUUAUCAAAAUCAAAAUUGUACAUGUUUGUAUAUGGAAAGCUUGGCCUUAAUGACAUCUCUAAUGAAUCACCAUGUAUAGGAAAUUAGAUCUAUCUUAUUUCUUAGCCAAUACGAGGUUUUUGCUUGAAUAUAUCUAGAAAUUCUAGACUAGUAGGACGACCUACCCCUCAUUGAGGCUUCCAAUGUGACAGUUGUUGGGGGAGAAGCAAUAUGUGAAACAGAGACCAAUUAUUUUGUUUUAUAUAGAAGUGCACAAUCAGAAGACAAAAGUAAGAUAGAAUAUCCUUAAAGAUUGAGUAGGCACCCAUUCGAAAACCUAUAGAUUUGGACAUUGAUUUAACCCGAGCCCCAAGAGAAAAACCAAAAUUAAUCUGUAAAAUCAGUAAUAGGGCCGACAUAAUUUACUACGCAUAUUAUUAGCUACUUUAAUGUUAUUCAAUCAGGCCGUUUGAACAUGUGCAUGUUACUGAUUAAAAUAAACUAGCUUGAAGGGCUUGUCUGAGUUAUAAUGAUAACGACCAUUACCCACCACCAGUCUAAACAUGUCCAUUUUGUAUCAAUAUCACCACCUUCAGCAGAACUUUUGUUGCUAAGACCUUACUAUUACUUUUUAUUAUUAUUAUUGUUGUUGUUGUUUUUUUAUUUUUAUAUUCAGGAUAGAUUUCUGAUAGACAUGAUAAAAUUUCAAUUUAUCACGUCCACUUCAUGAUCUCUUAUCAUCUUGUUAAGAGGUUUUUGGUGUAGAAGAUGUUUGAAUUCCAAAUUUCUUAUUCGAGGACAAUAGAUUUUACCAAUUGAGAUAUGAUAGAUUUGAAUAUAUGAUAUAUGUUCUAUGAUAAUUAUUCUUUAUCAUUAGAUCAAGACACUAAUUAAUUUUUGGUGUAAUCAAAAUUUGAACUUAGAUAUCUUAUUCGAUGAUAAUGGAGUUUACCAGUACUGUGUUGGACAUCAAUUGACAUGUUUAUAUGUUGGUAUUGGUGCAUACUUAGCAUUAGCAUCUGAUGUGCUAAAAAAAAAAAUGCUAUUUUAGCCCAUCAAAAAACCCACUUUUGCUAUUUUAGUGCAUUAUUUAACAAUACACCUUUUAUCUCAUCUGUUAUUUUAGCAUACAAGCCAUUAAAAUAAUAUAAAAUAAUUUUAACAAAAACAAACCCACAGCAACAGUGAAAAAAAACCAUGACCACAACCACCACAAAAACCACUGCCACAACCCAUUAGAUAAACCCACAGCCAAGAACUACCCCCACAACCACCGCUGCAACCCAUAGCAAACCACUGCUAAUCUUAAUGCCCCCACCAAAGAAAACCCAUAACAAAACACCAUUGAUCUUAGCUGAUCUCAACACCACCGCAAAAAAAAAAAAAAAAAAAACGUUGGUAAUAUUUUGAGACAAAUUGAGAGAGAGAGAGAAGAAAAAAAAAGGGGCAGAUGCUACACUAAUCAGCUAUUGGAGUAGAGUGAAAUUUUUUAGCAAAUGGUACGCCGAAUGAAGCCACUUUUUGCUGUUUGGUAUGCUAAAAUAGCAUUUUGGGUGUUUUAGCGCACUCAAUGCUAAUGCUCUUAAAAGUUAAAAUGGCUUUCCCUUUUCGUCGGUAGGCUUUACAAUUGUUCACCCCGCACCACCCUAGUUUGCUACAUGCCAAAUCCCAUACUCCAGAAAUAGCGGAACAAAAUGGAUACCUCAGUUAUCAAUCUAAAUUAUUGUGGGUCGUCCAGGCUGGGAUUGAUGUGUUGGGCUUUUUAGGAAUUAGUGGUGGCCUUGUGACAUGCACUACAUGAAUUGAUAUGACAAUCCUUUUUCUUUAUUGUGGUUUCCUGUUUUCAUUACUGUAUAGUGUUUUUGUUUUCUACUUUAUAUAUUUUUCCUUCAAUAGCUGUGAGUGCCAUAACCCAUCGACAUUGCAAUCCUGCUGGUGAAAUAUAAUGCGUAAGCCUAUGACCUCACCAUCAACCUCAAAACAUGCCAUUGACAUCAAAUUAGCUAAAUGAUCUAGCUUUACAAUAAUCCUAACACAUACUUAAAUUGAAUUUUGUCCCUUUCAAAUCCAAAUCCAACAUCAUAUAUUUUAUAUUUGCACCCUAGUUAGUGGUAAUAAGUUAGCAAAAGUAACAAUGUAAAUGUGAUAAUGAAUUAGGUUGACAAAAUUGCAUGACCUUACCUAUUCUAUCCUAUUAUAAUUAAUUUGUUAUCCAUAUUUUUUAAGUAAUGAACGACAUUAACAUGAUGAGAAAUAGGGAAGCUGAUGAACCUGAUUGCUUUGAACUUGCUUUUAGAAGAAUAUUAGAUACACUGAUACACAUAAAUAAUAAGAAUUCCAAACAGAUAAACCUGCACAAAAAGUAGCCCCUUUAAAAAACCACAAUAUCCUUGAUUACACAUACGUUGCACCUAUAUUUCAAACUCCAUCAAAGAGUUCUUUAGCACGUUACAAAAUUUUGCACCCAAUGUUACGUCAACUUCCACAUUUUUGCCAAGCUAGGUCCAUUUUCCACCCAGUAUAAAUGCUAAGACGACUCACCCAGCUUGACCAUAGUCCAUAUACCACCAUAUGGA